Molecule: non-coding RNA, 29 nt
Filed under: Homo sapiens (human)
Lineage: Eukaryota; Metazoa; Chordata; Mammalia; Primates; Hominidae
Source: RNAcentral
UGGAUGAAUCCUACACUGUCGGCAAGGUC